CUUUGAUAUCUUUACAUAUUGUAAUGAAAGUCACUUCCUCAUCAAUGGAAAACAGUUUAGCAUACGACCUGCGACGCUUCGUGCCCGCAUUGUUUUAAUGAAGCGCUAACGUGAUUCAAUGCUGGCGUAAAACGCGCUUCAUAAAAAUGUCUGCGUGUGUGUAGCGUUGCAAUUCGUACCCUCCUUUAAUUUCAAAAAUAAAAUUUAUUUCUUGAGUGUAUCAUUAAUUGUAUUUUCCUAAUGUUACAGGCUUAGACGAGAAUGAACUCUCUUACAUUUAUCAGUUCUUCAAUGAUAUUUAUAAAUGAGUCAAUUUUCUCAUUGAUUAGAAUAAUAAAACGACAUUUUCCCCCACAGCAUUCACGUCCUCCACAGGCGGUUCCUCGGCCUCGGAGAGCUCCAGUAAUUUAGGUUUUAUUGCUGGUGCCGUGGCGGCGGUCAUAGUGAUAGCUGUAGCAGUUGUUGUUGGAAUAGCGCUGUAUGUUAAAUCAAAAACAAGGGUAGAACCGAGUGAUCGGGACGAUAAAGAGAACAUUCAACAUUCACUAUGAUGCAUGGUAUAAGGUAACACGUGCCAUUCCUGUUCGUCCUGGAUACGAUGAAGGUCCAUACAGGGUUCUUCAGAUGGGAUAAAAUUCAAAUGAACUGUGAACUAUUGUUUUCGACUGUGAGGGAAUAAAUCAAAAUUGGCAAAGGAUGUUGUUAAAUUUAAUCUCUAAGUUUAAUAUAUCAGAUAUCGUGAUUAUUGAUAUUUCUGAAAUAAAUGUUUAUUUUGCUUAGAAGGGAAAUAUUUUCUUUCAUAUGUAAUGAAAUUUUUUAAAUACUCGAAGACCAGUGACAUUUCUACGACAUGACAAACGUUGUGAUAUUGUUCUUUUCCGUUUGUGUUGUACAAUCUAAAUUUGUAUUGAAUAAUUUCUUAUAUGUAUCGUAUAAUUUUCAUUUGUAUUAUACUAUGUUGAUAUGAAUUGCAUACUUUUUCAUUUGCAUCAUGUAUUGUUUUUUAAAAUUUACAUGUAUUUCUAUUUGUGUAAACGAUAAUGUUUCAUUCGUAUUGUGUAUUUGUAUUUACAAGGAAAGAAUAUAUUUGUUAAGUUUGUUAGCCUCAAAGUCUGAGCCUCAAGGGUGGCAUGAUGACGUUUCUACUUUUUUCUUUACACAUUAGUAAAAUUGUAUAGUAGACUAGGUUUACAAUACAUAUAUUUUACAUAAUAAACUGGUGCAAAUGUA
Long non-coding RNA from Ostrea edulis (European flat oyster), 1230 nucleotides. RefSeq lists it as uncharacterized. The transcript has 2 exons. Lineage: Eukaryota; Metazoa; Mollusca; Bivalvia; Ostreida; Ostreidae. The record is from RefSeq and is a predicted model, not a curated record.